UACAGAGGGGGCAAGCGUUAUUCGGAAUUAUUGGGCGUAAAGGGCGCGUAGGCGGUCGUGCAAGUGGAAGGUGAAAUCCCUCGGCUCAACCGAGGAACUGCCUUUCAAACUGCAUGGCUUGAGUCCGGGAGAGGUGAGUGGAAUUCCCAGUGUAGCGGUGAAAUGCGUAGAUAUUGGGAGGAACACCAGUGGCGAAGGCGGCUCACUGGACCGGAACUGACGCUGAGAAGCGAAAGCAUGGGGAGCGAACAGG
Molecule: ribosomal RNA, 253 nt
Filed under: uncultured bacterium
Lineage: Bacteria
Description: partial 16S ribosomal RNA
Rfam family: Bacterial small subunit ribosomal RNA
Source: RNAcentral